Molecule: ribosomal RNA, 405 nt
Filed under: uncultured bacterium
Lineage: Bacteria
Description: partial 16S ribosomal RNA
Rfam family: Bacterial small subunit ribosomal RNA
Source: RNAcentral
GACGAACGCUGGCGGCGUGCUUAACACAUGCAAGUCGAACGAAGUGGCGAACGGGUGAGUAAUACGUGAGUAACUGCCCUCCUUUUUGGGAUAAGCCUUGGAAACGGCUGCUAAUACCGGAUAGUGGGGGAUGCCUCGCGUCCUAUCAGCUUGUUGGUGGGGUAGUGGCCUACCACGGCGACGACGGGUAGCCGGCCUGAGAGGGCGACCGGCCACAUUGGGCUGAGAUACGGCCCAAACGCCUACGGGAGGCAGCAGUGGGGAAUAUUGCGCAGUGGGGGAGACCCUGAUGCAGCAACGCCGCGUGCGGGAUGACGGCCUUCGGGUUAUAAACCGCUUUCAGCCAUGACGCGGUAGUGGCAGAAGAAGCACCGGCUAACUACGUGCCAGCCGCCGCGGUAAUUC